GCGCGCCACGCCGAGGACCGGGCGGGCAGGCGGAGGGAGAGGCGGGGAGAGCCGCGUCCUGCUUGCUAAUGGAGGAGGCGGCGCCGCCGCGGCGGGUCUCUCGCCGGCGCUGCCUGCCCUCCUCCCGCGCGGGGCGCCCGGCAAGGGGGCGUGGGGCUGUCGCGGCGGCCAGCCGAGAAGCGCCAUUUUGUGCCCUCCCCCCUCGGCCUCUCGCUCCUCCGACAGGCCCCCGCCGCCGCCCCCGCCGCCUCUCGCCCGCUCGCUCCCUGGGCGCCCACGCUCCUUCCCGGUGGCGGCGGCGGCGGCGGCGCGUGAGGAGACCGUGGCGGGGCGAAGAAGACGCGCGCGUCUCUCCAUAAGCAAAUGGCCUCCUCGUCCCUCACGGCGCGCCGCCGAGACCUCUUGGCCAGGCCUGCCGGGCGAAGGGGCCGCCGGGGCAGCUGACGGGAGGACGGGAGCGGGGCUCCGCGGGGAAAGCGCGCCUUGGAAUGGCGAACACCCCCCAAAAAGAAAGAGAGCCCCCGAGGGCACCGCAGUGAAGGAAAAGGAGGAGAAACGCGCAGGCAGUUCUGGGGGGGGGCGGAAUCGGCGGGGGGAAAUGCUCGUCGCAAAAUAGAGGCGCACACAUAACUUCCUACAGCAAGCACAAUUCCUUCUCCACGAGUAUAAUUAGAGCAAAAUCAGAUUUAAAAGAUAAGGAGCGCUAAUUCGUCGGAGCCCGGAAGCAUCUCGUGGCGGGCGGCAGAGGCCUCCGCUCCAGAGCUCCUUGCUCGGCUUUUGUGUGUCAGGUGGAUUUUGCAACCGCUGGGCCGGUCAGAAGAUAGGUUUAGACAACAUGACUAAGAAAUACCGUAUGCAUUUAUUCCUAAAUUGCUCGUCAAAAAUAGCUAUUAUUUCUACCAAGCAUAUUCUUCAAGUACUGCAGAUUACUUCGAAGCAAGCAAAAACAAGGUCUGUGGCGCCUUAAAGACUAACAAAUUCAACAGCAAGUCAAGUAGAUUAUUCUAUUAAAAAAUGAACAGAAAACUUCACUAUUUGGCCCAAGAUUUACAUUUCUGUGUAUAAGACAAUGUUUUUUGCCCAUUCUUUUUGACCCAAAUUGGGUGUUGUCUUAUACACGAAUGGGGAAUGCACAAGGGUAAAACACACACGCACUAAUGACCUGUCUGUGACUGCCAUGAAGAAGCCGCCAGAACCACAAAUUAUUUCACCUGGCGCUCUUUUGGGGGAUGCUGGCCCUCGCCUGCUGCUGCUGCCUCGUCCUCAACAACUUUGGCCAACUUCCCCCAAGAAAGCUCAACAAAGCAAGGGUGCCUUGCAGGUCGGAGCUCCACUGCUGCUUCUGCCAACCGUCACAGGCUGUUUAAAGUAUUGAUUUAUUAAUUUUGGGUUCAAAAAAAUAGGGGUCGUCUUAUACAUGGAAAAAUACUGUAAAUCAACCUAUGACAAAUCCGUAACAAUGUUCAUUUCAUAUUUUAUAAACUCAAGUAGGACACAUGCCAAGUAGUUACAUUUUGGUUGGAGGCUUCAUAUGUAUUGUUCUUUAGCUAUGUAUUUUCAAUAUUGCAACCACUGAAAUACACUUGAUUGGAAUAUCUCUUUAUUUUUUGCAUUGAACAUUUAUAUUGGAUUGGUGAAUUUUAAAAUGAAAGAAUAAACAGUUACUGCUAUGCUAUUUUUUUUGGACUUUAGACACCAAUCAAGAAGGGUUAAGAAAUGUAGUUGCGGCUGUUGUUAUUAAUAGACAUUUUACAAGUUUUAGUGAACAAAGAAAAGAAAUGACUGCAUCAAUGAAGGGACAGUUUUAAACAUUCUUAACGCAACAAGUACAGUGUUACACUGCACAGUUAAUAAGCAGCAUAAAUUAUGUUGUUAAUUUGUGAUACAGCAUCCAGGUUUUCCUUCUUCACAGUUCUUACCAUCUUGCUUUUCUUUAAAAGGGGGCAGGGAGGGAAAGUUUGCUCUUAUCUUUCCCCGCACUGCCAAGGUGCGGAACCUUUUGCAAUCCAAGGGCUGGAUACCCUUUUGAGUGAGGGAGGCGGAUGGCACUGUGGUCUAAACCACUGAGCCUCUUGGGCUUGACGGUUUGAACCCACACAGUGGGGUGAGCCUCUGUUGUUUUGUUGUCAAAAAAUUAUUAAUUUUCCACAUUUAUAACAAACAUAACAUAUAAAACACACAAAACACAUCACAAUACU
This is a non-coding RNA of Podarcis lilfordi (Lilford's wall lizard), 2198 nucleotides long. NCBI's taxonomy places the organism in Eukaryota, Metazoa, Chordata, Lepidosauria, Squamata, Lacertidae. The record is from the annotation of a GenBank genome assembly.